This is a long non-coding RNA of Vespula pensylvanica (western yellowjacket), 315 nucleotides long. RefSeq lists it as uncharacterized. The record is from RefSeq and is a predicted model, not a curated record. The transcript has 2 exons. NCBI's taxonomy places the organism in Eukaryota, Metazoa, Arthropoda, Insecta, Hymenoptera, Vespidae.
UGAACACCAUCAGGCCCAGUGUAAGAGAACGAGCCACUCACCGCUUCAGAUUCUCCUAAGAAAGAAAAAGAAUUGAAUGGUGUCAUAAUUGCUGUUACCUAUACCAUCAUAUAUAUCCUGGAUUCUCUUCUUAAGAAUACGUUACCUACUAUCUUCAUUAUUAUUCCAAGACUAUCUUUUACCGAUCACGGCUAUUUACGAAUCGAAACGAAACAAUGGUGUUCGAGGCCAAUGGCAAAGAUGUAACGCAACACUUUGAAAACAACAGUAAUACGAAAGGAGAGGAUUGGGAAAUGAAAAAUGUGUGUGCCCGCG